CCGGGCGGUGAUGAGGAACACGGUGUAUGCUGUGAAGAGGCUGAAGGAGGACGCUGACCUGGAGUGGACUGCAGUGAAGCAGAGCUUCCUGACCGAGGUGGAGCAGCUGUCCAGGUUUCGUCACCCAAACAUUGUGGACUUUGCUGGCUACUGUGCUCAGAACGGCUUCUACUGCCUGGUGUACGGCUUCCUGCCCAACGGCUCCCUGGAGGACCGUCUCCACUGCCAGACCCAGGCCUGCCCACCUCUCUCCUGGCCUCAGCGACUGGACAUCCUUCUGGGUACAGCCCGGGCAAUUCAGUUUCUACAUCAGGACAGCCCCAGCCUCAUCCAUGGAGACAUCAAGAGUUCCAACGUCCUUCUGGAUGAGAGGCUGACACCCAAGCUGGGAGACUUUGGCCUGGCCCGGUUCAGCCGCUUUGCCGGGUCCAGCCCCAGCCAGAGCAGCAUGGUGGCCCGGACACAGACAGUGCGGGGCACCCUGGCCUACCUGCCCGAGGAGUACAUCAAGACGGGAAGGCUGGCUGUGGACACGGACACCUUCAGCUUUGGGGUGGUAGUGCUAGAGACCUUGGCUGGUCAGAGGGCUGUGAAGACGCACGGUGCCAGGACCAA
RNAcentral lists this small RNA (615 nucleotides) under Pan troglodytes (chimpanzee). RNAcentral's name for it is "processed transcript". The record is from RNAcentral. Lineage: Eukaryota; Metazoa; Chordata; Mammalia; Primates; Hominidae.